CAUCCCUAUCCCUACUUUUUCUCCUCACCCUGAGUCCUACACUGAUCUAGGACUCCCAAAUUGGCCUUCCAAGGAAACCCUUGCUUCAGGGAUCCCCCCCCCAAGAAAUUCCCCUCCAGAGAGUUCAGCCCAGUCUAACGUGGAGGAGGGCUCCCAGCCCCCUCCCCUCUCACCCCAAAACACACCUGAUCCAAAACACUGUUCCUCUUCUCAAGUCACACUCUCUCAGCCCCCAUCCCAGCCGUUCCUUUGAAGCCUGAUGCCCCCCCCCCCCAAAUUGUAUCUGCCCCUGCCACUCAACUCCUGCCACAUUCUGAGUUUUCCUCAGAUGGGAAGAAUCACCCACCAUCCCCCCUCCUUCUCUUGCCCCCACCAGGCUCUCUCUCUCUCUCUCUCUCUCUGCGCUCAUUCCUCUCUUGGAGAGAGAGGAGAAGGAGGGGCUGCGGGGAGAUUGUGCAAAGAGGACACUUUUUUUCUCUUCCUGUUUUUGGAGGGGCAAAGGGGGGAGAAGAUUCAGUCCUGAAGCCUGCCACCAAGAUCUAUAGUUCUCCAAGGAUCGCUUCCUUCUUUCAAAUCAAAUCUUCUCCAACUUGAUAUUCUGCCUUGCCUACCCUCAAAUUGCACCCUUUUUUUUCUUUUCUCUCUCUCUCUCUCUUCCCCGGCCUGAGUGAAAAUCUCUCUCUCUCUCUCAAAUCUCAAAUCCAUUUCUCCUCUCCUUCCUCUCUUCUCACCUUUUAAAAUCCCUUAUUUCCCUUUGUUCCCAUUUUCUAGACACUAUCCCUAAGAUUUUACCUCAGUGUUGUCUUAUAUUUCCUUUGGUCCUUACAAAAGGGGGGAGGGGGGCCAUUCCUUUAGCCGCUUCUGUUUCUUAAUUUCCCCUUUUCUUUCUCUCCCAUCUGGGAAGCAUGGCAAAGGAUUUGGGUGGGGGAGGGGGACUCCCAGAAAAGUGUUGGUUAAAUUUUGUGUGUUUAUGUAAUGUGUGGGCUGUAAACUCUUCUCUACUCAUCCCUUUGCCUUAAAAGCCACCAGUGAUAUAUAGUUUUCUGGGAAGGAGGGCUGGAAUGGACUAGCUUAGUGCUAUGCUCUCUCUCUCUCUCCCUUUUCUUCUGUGCCAUCUCACCUCCCUAUUUUCAAAGGUUCAAGCCCUAAUAUUUUGUGACCCCCCCCCCAGAGAAAUCCUGCUGCUUCUGUGGUUUUAACUUUUUCUUGUCUCUCUCUUCUCAAACAUCCCUUAUCUUAGGGACAAAGGGGGGUGGAAGAAUGCAUGUAUUUUUCUAUAUGUGAGUUUUUUUCUCUCUCUCUCUCCCUUCCACUUCAUGUUUUCCUAGGCCAAAAUGCGCUUCAACAUUCUCCUUUUUCAAAGCUUUCUCUCCCCCCUUCCUUCCCCUGUGAAGGGAACUCCCAGCAUCCCCAUUUCUCCUUAUAAACAUACAGUCAAAAUCCUGGUUUACUUUUAUAGUAAAGGCACUCUUUCACUCUCCACAGUUCCCCAACAAUCUCCUUUCUUCCUUUCGGGUCCUUCUCCCUCCCUUUCCCUGAGUGCAUGCGUGUGAAUGUUUUAAAAAUCCCUCUAACUGCCUUUAAAUAUGAGGGGGGCAGUACAGAGUCCAGGGGACCUUCCAGGCACAGCUGAAGAGAUCCAGAGGACCGGACCCAACCACCUGACUGAGGACAUCAGACCAGACUGCAAGACCCAUAAUCCAUACCUGCCACCAUGAACAGUUCUAAGACCUGGGUAGGGGCUCUCGGAGUGCGCUGUGGAUUUCAUGCAGCAGCUAGAACCCAGAGGCCAUUGGAGAUGGUCCUGUGAGGGCUUUUAUGGCCAGACCACCGUAUGGUGCCCUCCAGCUGGCCUGGUUCUGCCCUGGCAAAGGGCUACUGAGUGCAGGUCUGCCUUUGACGCUGCCAAGGAUGCCCUCAUGACAUCACCAGGGGACAGAAUUGGCCGCCAUGGCAGAAGAUGUCCCAGAAGAAGUGAACAGGAUUCUACCAGUGACCACCAUGAGGGAAGGAUGUUCCGCCCUCACCAGAGCUGUGCCAAAGAAGGACCCCAGGACUGCUGGAGCCCUCACAAGGUAUGAGUGACUUCCCUGACUAACCCCACCACGGGAGGGAGGGGGGGCUUAUAAUCUGUCCUUAGUUUCCCUAGGCACUCUCUCCUUUCCGUCUCCUCUGUUGGAGUGCUGGACCUGCCUACAGUCACCAGGAGGCGCCGUGCUGUGAGGCGCAGAAGCUGUGCCCAGUUGCCCCCAGCUGCCAACUACAAAGGGGGGCCCAAGCUGCAGCCAAGAAAAGGCAGCCAAAUGGGAGUACUGCAUCACAGCCUCCAUCAUCCCCAGCCCUCACCACCUCCACCUUCAUGCUCCAUUUCCCAUGACUCCAGACCAAGGGACAUCUGUUUCAACACCAUGGGAUCACCCACCACUGACUGAACCUCAGCUUUCACCUCUUCAAGCUCCUGCCCUCCAACAAAAAGGCACAAUCUGAUCUACCAAGGCAGAGGCCCUGCAUGCAGUGAAAUGUCGGGGCUUUGGGAAAUGUUCAUAGCCAUUUCCAAGCCCCGAAGGGGGGAAAAUGUGAUCGAGGUGACCACCCCCCCCCCAGGACUUUGUAAAAGAUAGUUCAAAAAUCAAGACUUUAUGUUCUAUAUUCCAUAUAUUUAUAGUAGAAGGUGAUUGAGACUUUUUACUGGAGUUUACUGUGGAUUAUCCCUGCACUCUGAGGCAAGAGAUAACAACUCCAUGAAUUGUGAAAUCAUGCUGCUAAAACUCCACUUUUAUGAAUUUCCAUAUUUGGGUUCCCCAGAUGUUGUGAACUUCGUUCUUAUCAAAUGUUUUCAAUUGUUUAUAUCAUUCAUGAUUCCCCUUUAUGCAAUGUAACCCACCUUUAUGGAUUCUCCCUUAUUUCCUUGAAAUCUAUCUAUCUGCCUAUAUGUAUUUGUACUCUUUGGGAUCCCCGGAAAAUAUGUGUUUUUCCCAGCUGGGUUUAUGUUCCAACUUUAUUUUAUUUUUCAUUUUAUUUCAUAUAAUUGUCAAAUCAUGAAAUCAAAUGGGAAAUAUUUUGACCCCAACAUGAACCCCAGCUCCUAUGACCCAGGUUUACCUUCCCCAAAACAAAAGGAUAAUCUGCCACAGUUUAACCCAAUCUAAUUCAGAUUGCAUGGACAAUAUAAGGCUUGAGUCCUAAAGGUGAUUCGCCCCCAAGGCAAACAUUGUCAUAUCUCCUCCAAAGGGAAAACCAGGACGUCUCAGGAAGACGCCCUGCUGCGCCCAUUGCCACCCAUCCUUACUUCCCCCUGACACCUUAAGGCAUAUCUGAAAUCAGUGUACAUGACAGGGACCCCUGAUGACUGUCAUUAAUCCCUUUAGAAAUCGGCCGGGCAAGGACUAAUCUGAUAUUUCCUGCCCUGUCACUUCAUUGUUUCAAUAACUCCCGCCUUCUCCUUCCUGAUUGGCUCGAGUGGGGACAAAAAGCAGCUCCCUAUUGGGCCAACAGAGCAAGGCGGGAAACGAAAGCCCGCCUCGUUCAACCUUCUAGCCUAUCCGCGAUCAGAUAGGCGGGGGAGCGGGGCGGGAAAUUCAAAGGGCUGUCAGACCGAAACAUUGUAUAAAUAUGGCUUUAUUUGAAACAUAUGAUACGCUAGUAGACUGAAUGAUCGCUACUAGUGUCCUUUUCAGCUGAAUCGCUCAAUAAAGACUCCUUGGCGGAUUUUCCUUCAA
Anolis carolinensis (green anole) is the source of this 3719-nucleotide long non-coding RNA. RefSeq lists it as uncharacterized. NCBI's taxonomy places the organism in Eukaryota, Metazoa, Chordata, Lepidosauria, Squamata, Anolidae. The record is from RefSeq and is a predicted model, not a curated record. The transcript has 2 exons.